RNAcentral lists this ribosomal RNA (497 nucleotides) under uncultured bacterium. RNAcentral describes it as "partial 16S ribosomal RNA". It matches the Rfam family "Bacterial small subunit ribosomal RNA", at positions 28 to 507 of the family's 1533-position model. The record is from RNAcentral.
GAUGAACGCUGGCGGCGUGCCUAAUACAUGCAAGUCGAGCGAACGGACGAGAAGCUUGCUUCUCUGAUGUUAGCGGCGGACGUGUGAGUAACACGUGUAUAACCUACCUAUAAGACUGGGAUAACUUCGGGAAACCGUAGCUAAUACCGGAUAAUAUUUUGAACCGCAUGGGUCAAAGGUGAAAGACGGUCUUGCUGUCACUUCUAGAUGGAUCCGCGCUGCAUUAGCUAGUUGGUACGGUAACGGCUUACCAAGGCAACGAGGCGUAGCCGACCUGAGAGGGUGAUCGGCCGCACGGGAACUGAGACACGGUCCAGAGUCCUACGGGAGGCAGCAGUAGGGAAUCUUCCGCAAUGGGCGAAAGCAUGACGGAGCAACGGCGCGUGAGUUACGAAGGUCUUCGGAUCGUAAAACUCUGUUAUUAGGGAAGAACAUAUGUGUAAGUAACUGUGCACAGCUUGACGGUACCUAAUCAGAAAGCCCCGGCUAACUACGUG